ACGGAACGAUGGACAAGGCUUAGAUUUCGUGAGUAUUUGAGAGAAAUAGACUUGAAGAGAUGUUUAAUUAGAUAGAACAAGCUGGAACUACAAUGAUUGGUGUAUAAACCCUAGCUCUAAUCUCUAAGGCUUGAAGUGUCGAUCCCCUGCUUUAGGGUUUAGGCUCCCCUUAUAUAGUUGUUUUAGGUCGGCCCUUAGUCGGUCGGAGUAGAUUAAACUCUUCAAUAUUCGGAAAUAUGGAAGGUUCUCCUUAUCGGAAGUUUUCCUUUUCCCGAAGGAAGGGGGUGGUCCCUCGGACCGGACCCAGAGUACUUCCUAGCGAGGACCCGGGGAGUAUCCUAGCGGGGACCCAGAG
This 355-nucleotide long non-coding RNA is filed under the name Brassica napus (rape). RNAcentral describes it as "long non-coding RNA (BNAP_LNC024266)". The record is from RNAcentral. Lineage: Eukaryota; Viridiplantae; Streptophyta; Magnoliopsida; Brassicales; Brassicaceae.